UUACUAUUAGUAAGGCCUGCUCAAUGAAUAUUAAAUAGCCGCGGUACUCCGUGCUAAGGUAGCAUAAUCAUUUGCCUUUUAAUUGAAGGCUAGAAUGAACGGCUUAACAUGUUAACAACUUUAUUAAUAAAUUUUCUUUAAACUAUCUUGAGAGUAAGAAGACUCUCAUUGACUAGGGGGACGACAAGACCCUAUCGAACUUCACUUAAAGUUUAGCUGGGGUGGCAAUAAACAAAUUCUUUUAAUAUCUUCUUCAUCCAUCCCAACUUAGGAUAAAACAAGUUACCGUAGGGAUAACAGCAUAAUUUUUUCCUAGAGCCCUGAUCCAAGAAAAAGUUUGUGACCUCGAUGUUGAAUUAAUAAUCUUUU
RNAcentral lists this ribosomal RNA (369 nucleotides) under Macrothele sanheensis. RNAcentral describes it as "partial large subunit ribosomal RNA". It matches the Rfam family "Archaeal large subunit ribosomal RNA", at positions 1935 to 2619 of the family's 2987-position model. Lineage: Eukaryota; Metazoa; Arthropoda; Arachnida; Araneae; Macrothelidae. The record is from RNAcentral.